UACGUAGGGGGCAAGCGUUGUCCGGAAUCAUUGGGCGUAAAGAGCGUGUAGGCGGCCAGGUAGGUCUGCUGUGAAAACUCGAGGCUCAACCUCGAGACGUCGGCGGAAACCAUCUGGCUAGAGUCCGGAAGAGGAGAGUGGAAUUCCUGGUGUAGCGGUGAAAUGCGCAGAUAUCAGGAGAACACCCGUGGCGAAGGCGGUCUC
This 204-nucleotide ribosomal RNA is filed under the name uncultured bacterium. Its description in RNAcentral is "partial 16S ribosomal RNA". It matches the Rfam family "Bacterial small subunit ribosomal RNA", at positions 524 to 729 of the family's 1533-position model. The record is from RNAcentral.